UAUUAUGUACAUACCUACAACAUAUAAUUAAUGCACUGGAUCCCAUUAGAACUUCACAGUUAAGAGAGUUGGGGCUAGAGUAGUACUGGGAUGGGUGACCGCCCGGGAAGUCCUAGUGUUUUACAUUCC
Non-coding RNA from Picea glauca (white spruce), 129 nucleotides. The record is from Rfam. NCBI's taxonomy places the organism in Eukaryota, Viridiplantae, Streptophyta, Pinopsida, Pinales, Pinaceae.